This is an unclassified non-coding RNA of Pongo abelii (Sumatran orangutan), 117 nucleotides long. It matches the Rfam family "Metazoan signal recognition particle RNA". Rfam says of the family: The signal recognition particle (SRP) is a universally conserved ribonucleoprotein. It is involved in the co-translational targeting of proteins to membranes. The eukaryotic SRP consists of a 300-nucleotide 7S RNA and six proteins: SRPs 72, 68, 54, 19, 14, and 9. NCBI's taxonomy places the organism in Eukaryota, Metazoa, Chordata, Mammalia, Primates, Hominidae. The record is from Ensembl.
GCUGGGCGUGGUGGCUCACGCCUGUAAUCCCAGCUCUUUGGGAGGCUGAGGCAGGUGGCUCACUUGAGCCCAGGAGUUCAAGACCAGCCUGGGCAACACAGCAAGACCCCGUCUCUA